AUGUCCGGCGCUUCGGCUUCGUCACUGUGGUUCCACUACAUCGACCCUCGCAACUUCACCAUGGCUGCGGCCACGUCACCGUCCUCAUCGUCAUUGUCGCGCCGCGAUGGCCGCCCCUCGCUCGCGCUGCUGCACCGCGACGCCGUCUCCGGCAGGACCUACCCGUCGACGCGGCACGCCAUGCUUGGUCUCGCGGCAAGGGACGGCGCGCGGGCAGAGUACCUCCAGCGUCGCCUCUCGCCUACGACCAUGACGACGGAGGUGGGGUCGGAGGUUGUGUCGGGCAUCUCCGAGGGCAGCGGCGAGUACUUCGUCCGCGUCGGCGUGGGGUCGCCGCCCACGGAGCAGUACCUGGUCCUGGACUCCGGGAGCGACGUCAUCUGGGUGCAGUGCCGCCCCUGUGCCGAGUGCUACCAGCAGUCCGACCCUCUCUUCGACCCGGCCGCGUCGGCGUCCUUCACCGUCGUGCCGUGCGGCUCGGGCGUCUGCCGGACCCUGCCCGGCGGGUCAUCAGGCUGCGCCGACUCCGGAGCGUGCCGGUACCAGGUGUCCUACAGCGACGGGUCGUACACCCAGGGCGUGCUGGCGAUGGAGACGCUCACGUUUGGGGACAGCACGCCGGUGCAGGGCGUCGCAAUCGGCUGCGGCCACCGCAACCGCGGACUCUUCGUCGGGGCAGCCGGCCUGCUCGGCCUCGGCUGGGGCCCCAUGUCGCUCGUCGGGCAGCUCGGCGGCGCGGCAGGCGGCGCCUUCAGCUACUGCCUCGCCAGCCGCGGCGCCGACGCCGGCGCCGGGUCGCUCGUGCUCGGCCGGGACGACGCCAUGCCGGUGGGCGCCGUGUGGGUGCCCCUGCUGCGCAACGCGCAGGAGCCGAGCUUCUACUACGUGGGCUUGACGGGGCUGGGAGUCGGCGGCGAGAGGCUCCCGCUGCAGGACGGGCUCUUCGACCUCACCGAGGACGGCGGCGGCGGCGUGGUGAUGGACACCGGCACGGCCGUGACGCGGCUCCCGCCCGACGCCUACGCGGCGCUGCGCGACGCGUUCGCGGACGCCGUCGGCGGCGGCCUCCCGCGCUCGCCGGGCGUGUCGCUGCUGGACACGUGCUAUGACCUGAGUGGGUACGCGAGCGUGCGCGUGCCGACGGUGGCCCUCUACUUCGGGCGCGACGGCGCAGCGCUGACGUUGCCGGCGAGGAACCUGCUGGUGGAGAUGGGCGGCGGCGUGUACUGCCUGGCGUUCGCGGCGUCGGCGUCCGGGCUGUCCAUCCUCGGCAACAUACAGCAGCAAGGGAUCCAGAUCACCGUCGAUUCCGCCACUGGCUAUGUUGGCUUCGGACCAACUACGUGCUAG
This 1350-nucleotide ribosomal RNA is filed under the name Triticum aestivum (bread wheat). Its description in RNAcentral is "partial small subunit ribosomal RNA". The record is from RNAcentral. Lineage: Eukaryota; Viridiplantae; Streptophyta; Magnoliopsida; Poales; Poaceae.